CAGUAGCCGCGGUAAUACAGAGGGUGCGAGCGUUAAUCGGAUUUACUGGGCGUAAAGCGUGCGUAGGCGGCUUCUUAAGUCGGAUGUGAAAUCCCUGAGCUUAACUUAGGAAUUGCAUUCGAUACUGGGAAGCUAGAGUAUGGGAGAGGAUGGUAGAAUUCCAGGUGUAGCGGUGAAAUGCGUAGAGAUCUGGAUGAAUACCGAUGGCGAAGGCAGCCAUCUGGCCUAAUACUGACGCUGAGGUACGAAAGCAUGGGGAGCAAACAGGAUUAGAUACCCCGGUAGUCCCUGUCUCUUAUAC
Molecule: ribosomal RNA, 301 nt
Filed under: uncultured bacterium
Lineage: Bacteria
Description: partial 16S ribosomal RNA
Rfam family: Bacterial small subunit ribosomal RNA
Source: RNAcentral